This 465-nucleotide ribosomal RNA is filed under the name Vreelandella stevensii. RNAcentral's name for it is "partial 16S ribosomal RNA". It matches the Rfam family "Bacterial small subunit ribosomal RNA", at positions 338 to 795 of the family's 1533-position model. The record is from RNAcentral. Lineage: Bacteria; Pseudomonadati; Pseudomonadota; Gammaproteobacteria; Oceanospirillales; Halomonadaceae.
CCUACGGGGAGCUGCAGUGGGGAAUAUUGGACAAUGGGCGAAAGCCUGAUCCAGCCAUGCCGCGUGUGUGAAGAAGGCCUUCGGGUUGUAAAGCACUUUCAGUGGGGAAGAAAGCCUUGGGGCUAAUACCCUCGAGGAAGGACAUCACCCACAGAAGAAGCACCGGCUAACUCCGUGCCAGCAGCCGCGGUAAUACGGAGGGUGCGAGCGUUAAUCGGAAUUACUGGGCGUAAAGCGCGCGUAGGCGGUCUGAUAAGCCGGUUGUGAAAGCCCCGGGCUCAACCUGGGAACGGCAUCCGGAACUGUCAGGCUAGAGUGCAGGAGAGGAAGGUAGAAUUCCCGGUGUAGCGGUGAAAUGCGUAGAGAUCGGGAGGAAUACCAGUGGCGAAGGCGGCCUUCUGGACUGACACUGACGCUGAGGUGCGAAAGCGUGGGUAGCAAACAGGAUUAGAUCCCCCGGUAGUC